GACGAACGCUGGCGGCGUGCUUAACACAUGCAAGUCGAACGGUGAAGCGCCUUCCUUUUUGGUGGGUGUGGAUGAGUGGCGAACGGGUGAGUAACACGUGAGUAACCUGCCCCCUUCUUCUGGAUAACCGCAUGAAAGUGUGGCUAAUACGGGAUAUUCUGGGUCUGUCGCAUGAUGGGUCUGGGAAAGAUAUUGUUUCGGUGGGGGAUGGGCUCGCGGCCUAUCAGCUUGUUGGUGGGGUGAUGGCCUACCAAGGCGGUGACGGGUAGCCGGCCUGAGAGGGUGGACGGUCACACUGGGACUGAGACACGGCCCAGACUCCUACGGGAGGCAGAAGUGGGGAAUAUUGCACAAUGGGCGCAAGCCUGAUGCAGCGACGACGCGUGAGGGAUGGAGGCCUUCGGGUUGUGAACCUCUUUCGCCAGUGAAGCAGGCCUGCCUCGUUUGUGGGUGGGUUGACGGUAGCUGGAGAAGAAGCGCCGGCUAACUACGUG
Molecule: ribosomal RNA, 494 nt
Filed under: uncultured bacterium
Lineage: Bacteria
Description: partial 16S ribosomal RNA
Rfam family: Bacterial small subunit ribosomal RNA
Source: RNAcentral